UACGUAGGGUCCGAGCGUUGUCCGGAAUUACUGGGCGUAAAGAGCUCGUAGGUGGUUUGUCGCGUUGUUCGUGAAAACUCACAGCUCAACUGUGGGCGUGCGGGCGAUACGGGCAGGCUAGAGUACUGCAGGGGAGACUGGAAUUCCUGGUGUAGCGGUGGAAUGCGCAGAUAUCAGGAGGAACACCGGUGGCGAAGGCGGGUCUCUGGGCAGUAACUGACGCUGAGGAGCGAAAGCGUGGGGAGCGAACAGG
RNAcentral lists this ribosomal RNA (253 nucleotides) under uncultured bacterium. RNAcentral describes it as "partial 16S ribosomal RNA". It matches the Rfam family "Bacterial small subunit ribosomal RNA", at positions 524 to 776 of the family's 1533-position model. The record is from RNAcentral.